AGAGUUUGAUCCUGGCUCAGAACGAACGCUGGCGGCAUGCCUAACACAUGCAAGUCGAACGAGAUCGUCGGAUCUAGUGGCGCACGGGUGCGUAACGCGUGGGAAUCUGCCCUUGGGUUCGGAAUAACUUCUGGAAACGGAAGCUAAUACCGGAUGAUGACGUAAGUCCAAAGAUUUAUCGCCCAAGGAUGAGCCCGCGUAGGAUUAGCUAGUUGGUGAGGUAAAGGCUCACCAAGGCGACGAUCCUUAGCUGGUCUGAGAGGAUGAUCAGCCACACUGGGACUGAGACACGGCCCAGACUCCUACGGGAGGCAGCAGUGGGGAAUAUUGGACAAUGGGCGAAAGCCUGAUCCAGCAAUGCCGCGUGAGUGAUGAAGGCCUUAGGGUUGUAAAGCUCUUUUACCCGAGAUGAUAAUGACAGUAUCGGGAGAAUAAGCUCCGGCUAACUCCGUGCCAGCAGCCGCGGUAAUACGGAGGGAGCUAGCGUUGUUCGGAAUUACUGGGCGUAAAGCGCACGUAGGCGGCCAUUCAAGUCAGAGGUGAAAGCCCAGGGCUCAACCCUGGAAUUGCCUUUGAAACUAGAUGGCUUGAAUCCAGGAGAGGUGAGUGGAAUUCCGAGUGUAGAGGUGAAAUUCGUAGAUAUUCGGAAGAACACCAGUGGCGAAGGCGGCUCACUGGACUGGUAUUGACGCUGAGGUGCGAAAGCGUGGGGAGCAAACCAGGAUUAGAUACCCUGGUAGUCC
RNAcentral lists this ribosomal RNA (743 nucleotides) under uncultured bacterium. RNAcentral describes it as "bacterial SSU rRNA". It matches the Rfam family "Bacterial small subunit ribosomal RNA", at positions 8 to 796 of the family's 1533-position model. The record is from RNAcentral.